This 896-nucleotide ribosomal RNA is filed under the name uncultured Bacteroides sp. RNAcentral's name for it is "bacterial SSU rRNA". It matches the Rfam family "Bacterial small subunit ribosomal RNA", at positions 34 to 925 of the family's 1533-position model. Lineage: Bacteria; Pseudomonadati; Bacteroidota; Bacteroidia; Bacteroidales; Bacteroidaceae. The record is from RNAcentral.
UGCUAGCUACAGGCUUACACAUGCAAGUCGAGGGGCAGCAUUGGAGUAGCAAUACUUCAGAUGGCGACCGGCGCACGGGUGAGUAACACGUAUCCAACCUGCCGCUUACUCGGGGAUAGCCUUUCGAAAGAAAGAUUAAUACCCGAUGGUAUAAAGAGUUCGCAUGUUCUCUUUAUUAAAGAAUUUCGGUAAGCGAUGGGGAUGCGUUCCAUUAGAUUGUUGGCGGGGUAACGGCCCACCAAGUCUACGAUGGAUAGGGGUUCUGAGAGGAAGGUCCCCCACAUUGGAACUGAGACACGGUCCAAACUCCUACGGGAGACAGCAGUGAGGAAUAUUGGUCAAUGGACGAGAGUCUGAACCAGCCAAGUAGCGUGAAGGAUGACUGCCCUAUGGGUUGUAAACUUCUUUUAUAAGGGAAUAAAGUGAGGGACGUGUCCCUUUUUGUAUGUACCUUAUGAAUAAGGAUCGGCUAACUCCGUGCCAGCAGCCGCGGUAAUACGGAGGAUCCAAGCGUUAUCCGGAUUUAUUGGGUUUAAAGGGAGCGUAGGUUGACAUAUAAGUCAGCUGUGAAAGUUUACGGCUCAACCGUGAAAUUGCAGUUGAUACUGUAUGUCUUGAGUGUACAAGAGGUGGGCGGAAUUCGUGGUGUAGCGGUGAAAUGCUUAGAUAUCACGAAGAACUCCAAUUGCGAAGGCAGCUCACUGGGGUACAACUGACACUGAGGCUCGAAAGUGUGGGUAUCAAACAGGAUUAGAUACCCCUGGUAGUCCACACAGUAAACGAUGAAUACUCGCUGUUUGCGAUAUACAGUAAGCGGCCAAGCGAAAGCAUUAAGUAUUCCACCUGGGGAGUACGCCGGCAACGGUGAAACUCAAAUGAAUUGACGGAAGGCGAAU